Non-coding RNA from Salmonella enterica subsp. enterica serovar 4,[5],12:i:-, 99 nucleotides. The record is from Rfam. NCBI's taxonomy places the organism in Bacteria, Pseudomonadati, Pseudomonadota, Gammaproteobacteria, Enterobacterales, Enterobacteriaceae.
UAUUAUUGGUGUCUGGCAUCUGACGCAGGGCGAUGACAUUUGUCACAACGGAGAGGCUGAGAUUCUGGCGGGACCGUUAGAACCUCCAAUUUAAUACAU